GAGAGAGAGAGAGAGAGAGCAGUCACCGUUCCUUAUUUUUCAGGUUAUUGUGGUUUAUGCUCCUCCCUCUUUUUACAUGCUCUGGUUUGGCGCGUGUCCUCAACGCUCAUCUUGUCUACUCUUGGCAAUUCAACUUGACCAUAAAAUAAAGUUGCGCACUUCAUUUUAAAAUGAUUUAUUUAAUAAGAAAAAAUUAAAAAAAAUGAAGAUUUAAGGCGCGUGAAGUGGCGGCAGUAAGUGGGGGAUAUUGCGAGUGGCAUGCGGAGCUUGGGCAUCACCGCGCAGCCACGAAAGAAAUCGUACAUAUUUGCCGGAGGAAGAGAAGAGAAGAGAGGAGAGGGAGGCUAAUAAGUAAUAACGUGAAU
RNAcentral lists this unclassified non-coding RNA (365 nucleotides) under Hevea brasiliensis (rubber tree). The record is from RNAcentral. Lineage: Eukaryota; Viridiplantae; Streptophyta; Magnoliopsida; Malpighiales; Euphorbiaceae.